This 1061-nucleotide long non-coding RNA is filed under the name Chinchilla lanigera (long-tailed chinchilla). Its description in RNAcentral is "lncRNA (ENSCLAG00000026732.1)". The record is from RNAcentral. Lineage: Eukaryota; Metazoa; Chordata; Mammalia; Rodentia; Chinchillidae.
AUGGAGAACUUGGGGCCAACAAGAAGAGUUUUGCCUACAGUCACAGAGCAAGAAAGCAGCAGAGCCGACGUUCUCAAAGCCCCACCCCUAGACUGUAAUUGCAGAGCACCUCCGAGUCAGAGUCAGGAAGAGGAGAGGAGAGGCAGGACGAGGGUGCCAGAGCUUGCUGGAGGGAGAUGGCAGAAACUAAUGAGUUCCCUGCAGGACACAACAAAGCUAGAGGAGGCCUUGGAGAGACUGCAAAGGGGAGCUACAACGGAGCAGUCAAGGACAUAUAGUCUCACUUCUGUGACAGAGUGGGCGAGAGGUGCUUCAAGUUGGAAUUCUAGAAUUGGAGGUCCUGCAUAAGCCACGGCACUGGAUGAUUCCACUGCGCUGACAGUGAAUGAGCUUGGCUGGGCAUUUUGGAAGCCUUAUGGGACGGAGGGUGCCUGCUGAGAGUGCCUGUGCCCAGAAGAGGAACAGCAGAGAUGCCUGUAGAGAAGGCGGCACUGAGGAAGGCAAGCAGCACCUGGCGGAAUUCGCAGAGAGCUGGGGGCAGCUGGAGGGCGCCAUAUAUAUCACCUAAUCAGCCAGUCUUACUUGUGAAAUACCUCAUACAAUAAUUAAUGCACUCUUUCUAUUGCCACUUGACUUUACACCUUGGGCACUUCAAAGUAAACGCAAUUUGAGAAUGUGAUUUUUAACGACCUUGUAUCGUUCCAUCAUGUGAAUCUAAUAUAAUCUACUCAACAAUCUCCUAGUGUUGUGAAUUAUAAAUUAAUUGUCUUUAUUUUGUUGUGGUUUUUAUUUUUUGUUAUUGUGUACUAUACUGCUAGGAACCUACUUGGAAAUACAUCUUUGAGAACAUCUCUAAUUAUAUUCUUAGGAGAAAUUGUUAUAAAUAGAAUAGUCUUAUUAAAGGGUAUGGACAUUUUAAAGCUUUUGAUCCACAUAAAUAAAUCGCCGUACUGAAUGUUUGUGACAAGUCAUACUUCCCACCACAGGAUAAGAGUUUCCUUCCUUUUGAAUCGUUACCAGGCUUAAGUACUAUGAUUUUUUAAAAGCCUGGCUAAAGUGAC